RNAcentral lists this ribosomal RNA (440 nucleotides) under uncultured bacterium. RNAcentral describes it as "partial 16S ribosomal RNA". It matches the Rfam family "Bacterial small subunit ribosomal RNA", at positions 338 to 795 of the family's 1533-position model. The record is from RNAcentral.
CCUACGGUGUGCAGCAGUGGGGAAUAUUGCACAAUGGGGGAAACACUGAUGCAGCAACGCCGCGUGAGUGAAGACGUCUUUCGGUAUGUAAAGCUCUAUCAGCGGGGAGGAAAAUGACAGUACCUGACUAAUAAUCUCCGGCUAACUACGUGCCAGCAGCCGCGGUUAUACGUAGGGGGCAAGCGUUAUCCGGAUUUACUGGGGGUAAAGGGAGCGUAGACGGCUGCGCAAGUCAGAAGUGAAAGUCCGGGGCUCAACCGCGGGACUGCUUUUGAAACUGCGUAGCUAGAGUGCAGGAGAGGUAAGUGGAAUUCCUAGUGUAGCGGUGAAAUGCGUAGAUAUUAGGAGGAACACCGGUGGCGAAGGCGGCUUACUGGACUGUAACUGACGUUGAGGCUCGAAAGCGUGGGGAGCAAACAGGAUUAGAUACCCUGGUAGUC